This 253-nucleotide ribosomal RNA is filed under the name uncultured bacterium. Its description in RNAcentral is "partial 16S ribosomal RNA". It matches the Rfam family "Bacterial small subunit ribosomal RNA", at positions 524 to 776 of the family's 1533-position model. The record is from RNAcentral.
GACGUAGGGCGCGAGCGUUGUCCGGAUUUAUUGGGCGUAAAGAGCUCGUAGGCGGCUUGUUGCGUCAGCUGUGAAAACCCGCAGCUCAACUGUGGGCUUGCAGCUGAUACGGGCAGGCUUGAGUUCGGUAGGGGAGACUGGAAUUCCCGGUGUAGUGGUGAAAUGCGUAGAUAUCGGGAGGAACACCAGUGGCGAAGGCGACUACCUGGCCUGCUCUUGACGCUGAGGCGCGAAAGCUAGGGGAGCAAACGGG